GUGCAGGAGGCGAUCAUGACCAUGACUGGUGGCGAGAAGGCAAAUCAUCCUGCGACACCGAUUCUGACUCUCAAAGUGUCCGAAGGUGUCGGAGGCAGCACCGGGAACCUGGACGCACUUGAGGUGUUGGGACGGAUGAGGCGUGGUGUCGGCCGAUGGCUUGAUGGCUUCAACAUGACCUGUGUGCCCAAUUCUCCAGUUGUUUCCUCGCCCACUACCUGUCGUAAUGGCUUUGCCAGGCGACCAAGUGUGUCAUCGUAGACUACCAUGAACCUCCUUCAGGGCACAUGCCAGGAAGUACCUUCUAUCAUCUGAAAUAAAGGUGAUCGGUCUUCACUGGAACACGCUGGGGAGAUUAUUCCAGAAGUUGGUUACACUGGGAGGAGUUGUCAAUCGCCGACGGUCCCAGGGGGAGCAGAGGAAGGGUGCAAGUGUGAAAACCAAAGAACUACAGACUCUUCACAACCUGCUCAAACUCUUGGUACAGGACCUCACCACACGGGUCAAGAAGGUUUCCAUCUCAUUUCUACUCUGAAGCUCACCUUCUCCUGCUCAAACUGCUGACAAAUGUUUCUGCUGCUCUAAAGUCUGGUCUCCAGAACUUCCUAAAAACUCUCAGAGUCUCUUCUGCUGCAGGUUGCUUUGUAGAACUGUUCCAGAAAACCUCACUAAACCACAUGGAAAGGCCUCAAGAUAGUCGUCCAAAUGAAACCUUACAAAAACCAAACUAGCACAACCCAAACACUAAAGUCUCCUGCAGCCUACCAGAGAACCUCUGAGAACAGAGAAUCCGUACAGGAACUCUCACCUUCUGGACAACCAACGUUGGUUCUCAAACAAGAAUACAGAAUGUGUCUGACCAAAAACCUCUGAAGACUCACUACAGCCAAGAUAAAGACACAACUCAGCUGCACCAAAUCCACUAAUCACUGCACACAUUAGCACCAUGUGCUAACUGUGGCUAAAGAACCACAUUUACCAAGACAACUAUCAAGUACAAAGCCCUAAAACACACCAAGAAACACAUUAAAGAUGAUUUUACUGCUGGAAGCUGCAAGCCAACACCUAAAGAACAAGCUAAAGCAAUGGAGCCAAACCCAGUUCAGUGGUGAACAGAAGCAGAGGAAAUGUUUGUCUGCAGCUAAAUAAAGCAGGAAGACACUGAGCUGCUCAGGUGUUCCUAAUAACACCAAUCAGCCACCUGGACAGCCAAUAGGAACACAGCCACCUGGACAGCCAAUAGAAACACAGCUUCCUGGAAGUCCAGAGGGCUGGCUUAGUGAAGGAAAUUUAGUUUAAAGUUGAAGCAGAAAAUUAACAAAGAAAGUUGAAAACCACCUUCUGAUACCUGAAAUCUCUGAGUUUUCACACAAACAGCACCUGAACAUGUCAAACUGGUUCCAUAGUAGAACCAUCAUUGUAAAAACGUCAUAGUAUGGUGUGUUGCUCAAAAAACAUUAGGACCCGGCUGUCAGGGGACAAACAUGUAAGAAACAUGAGAACAGAGAGAACCCAACCAGUAGGUCACAGUUUAUCAUCCCCCAGUCAUCUCCUGAAGUCCAUAUGGUGAGAGACAUCAGUAUCUGGUUGUUAAUUUACCAGAGGAUGCUUAUAAUCAUGCUGAUGUGGUCUGUACUCUACAGUAUUUUAGUGACUCAAUAAAUGCCUAAGUUGUUUUUUUUUUUUAAAUGCUUUUUAGUUUUUAAUAAACAUUUAACAGCCUAUAUGUAAUCAAUAAAUGGCCUUUGCCUAUCUUAAGAAAAACUCACUCAGAACUCUGAUAUGUUAACAAUACUAAAUAAAUCAAUAAAUACACGCAUACACACAAAAAUAAGUUAAUACAUUAACUGUGUUAAGAUAAGAUUUAGAUUUUAAAAAAAGUUGUUUAUGAUUUUGCAGAAUACAGUCUUGCUCACUGGUUGGUCAUUACAUUUUAUUAGUUUGAUUUCACUGUUUAAAAUGAUGCCACCUCUUUUCAGACAGAACCUGUGAUAAUAAAACAAUACAAAAUUUUUAGCUCCGUGUUAAUAAAGCACUUAAAGCUUUAAGUAUGGCUAAAUGCUUUUUUCAAAAUUAAAUAUAUCACUCCUUAGGUGGUAGUGGCCCCAAGUUCAGUAAAGUUGGAAAGAUAUUCACAGAUUCGGACUUCCAGCAUCAAUAACUCGUUAGAUAUAGGUUGUCAAAACAUAAACGGUGCCUCUUUCCCAUUGUUGCAAGGCAGACAAUGUGCUACAAGCCCAGUUUUAUCAAAAGUAGCUGUCUUUCAAGCUACAGGAAUAACACUAGUGUCUAUGGAGUGAACAGGGUCCGUCUGCAAUUAGCAAAACCGCUGCAACAGUAAAGAGAGACAAAUAUUCAAUAACUUCACUCUUAUACAUUGUAGUGUCACUAAAAUCACUGCAGCCUUCAACUGGCUCCUGUUGACAAAGUGUUUUAACAGAAAUGUAAAUGCUGUAAUUUGAUUCUUUUAAUGAACCAUGUAACUUGAAUGGAUGUGAUGCUGGUGUGACCACAGUGCACACGUCUGAUGUUGCUCACAGUGGUCCAAGGGACGCUCAGGGAGUUUGUGUGUUUGCUCAUGAAAAAUUAGAGGGAACAUUGCUCAUAAGUUCUUAAUGUUACAUAAGAAACUGAAAAUAUUUAAAUAAACUAGCUCUAAGCGACCACACACAAAGCUUGGAUGCAAUAAUCUGGAACAACUAAUAAAAAGCAACACAACAAAGUACAUAUACUGCACAGUUGUGAGCAUGAUGCACUUUUUGAUAUCAGCUCUGCUUUUGAGUAAAUGUGCUUUGAUAUAUUACUUUUCAUUAAUUGUUCCAGAUUAUUGCUAAUUUGUGUAAAUAUUUCUGAUUUAUUUUGUUUCAUAAACAGUUUACAGGAUACAUACUGUGAUUUUUAAGCAUUGCACCUUAGUUUAUAUGUCUCAUAUGUUGUCAGUGAGACAUAAUAAACCGAAAAUAUUUAAUUAAACUAGCUUUAAACUACCACACAUGAAAUUUAAU
Long non-coding RNA from Amphiprion ocellaris (clown anemonefish), 3005 nucleotides. RefSeq lists it as uncharacterized. The record is from RefSeq and is a predicted model, not a curated record. The transcript has 6 exons. Lineage: Eukaryota; Metazoa; Chordata; Actinopteri; Pomacentridae.